AAUCAACGCUGGCGGCGUGCCUCAGACAUGCAAGUCGAACGAGAAAGUUCCCUUCGGGGAGCGAGUAAAGUGGCGCACGGGUGAGUAACACGUAGGUAAUCUACCUUCGGGUGGGGAAUAACCCAGGGAAACUUGGGCUAACACCGCAUAAUGCAGCGGCACCACAUGGUGACAGUUGUUAAAGCGGGGGAUUUCGAACCUCGCGCCUGAAGAGGAGCCUGCGGCGGAUUAGCUUGUUGGAAGGUAACGGCUUACCAAGGCGACGAUCCGUAGCCGGCCUGAGAGGGCGGUCGGCCACACUGACACUGACAUACGGGUCAGACUCCUACGGGAGGGCAGCAGUCGGGAA
RNAcentral lists this ribosomal RNA (349 nucleotides) under uncultured bacterium. Its description in RNAcentral is "bacterial SSU rRNA". It matches the Rfam family "Bacterial small subunit ribosomal RNA", at positions 32 to 361 of the family's 1533-position model. The record is from RNAcentral.